GUAUAACGAGCCCGGUUCCGCUGGAAAAAACCGGUCCGCUGUAUUAUGUAGCGUACAUUUUGUUUCUCUGGGUUUACGCUACAUAAUACAGCGUAUACGCUGUUUAAUAUUUUAAUCCUUUUUUUAAUCUUGACCGUUAGCUGCUUAAUGGACGGUUAAAAAUGAGGUGGAUAAAAUUAAUAAUUUAUCCACCUUUGGUUGUAGAACAUCCCCC
This 214-nucleotide long non-coding RNA is filed under the name Daucus carota (carrot). RNAcentral describes it as "long non-coding RNA (DCAR_LNC007113)". Lineage: Eukaryota; Viridiplantae; Streptophyta; Magnoliopsida; Apiales; Apiaceae. The record is from RNAcentral.